RNAcentral lists this ribosomal RNA (497 nucleotides) under uncultured bacterium. RNAcentral's name for it is "partial 16S ribosomal RNA". It matches the Rfam family "Bacterial small subunit ribosomal RNA", at positions 28 to 507 of the family's 1533-position model. The record is from RNAcentral.
GAUGAACGCUGGCGGCGUGCCUAAUACAUGCAAGUCGAGCGAACAGACGAGGAGCUUGCUCCUCUGACGUUAGCGGCGGACGGGUGAGUAACACGUGGAUAACCUACCUAUAAGACUGGGAUAACUUCGGGAAACCGGAGCUAAUACCGGAUAAUAUAUUGAACCGCAUGGUUCAAUAGUGAAAGACGGUUUUGCUGUCACUUAUAGAUGGAUCCGCGCCGCAUUAGCUAGUUGGUAAGGUAACGGCUUACCAAGGCAACGAUGCGUAGCCGACCUGAGAGGGUGAUCGGCCACACUGGAACUGAGACACGGUCCAGACUCCUACGAGAGGCAGCAGUAGGGAAUCUUCCGCAAUGGGCGAAAGCCUGACGGAGCAACGCCGCGUGAGUGAUGAAGGUCUUCGGAUCGUAAAGCUCUGUUAUUAGGGAAGAACAAAUGUGUAAGUAACUAUGCACGUCUUGACGGUACCUAGUCAGAAAGCCACGGCUAACUACGUG